GGUGGUUCUCGGGUGACGCACCCUGGAAUCGGGCUCCCUACUCUCUGAUUCUGGGUGUGUCACCUGAGAACCACA
Non-coding RNA from Myotis lucifugus (little brown bat), 75 nucleotides. Lineage: Eukaryota; Metazoa; Chordata; Mammalia; Chiroptera; Vespertilionidae. The record is from Rfam.